GAUGAACGCUGGCGGCGUGCCUAAUACAUGCAAGUCGAACGAAACUUCUUUAUCACCGAGUGCUUGCACUCACCGAUAAAGAGUUGAGUGGCGAACGGGUGAGUAACACGUGGGCAACCUGCCCAAAAGAGGGGGAUAACACUUGGAAACAGGUGCUAAUACCGCAUAACCAUAGUUACCGCAUGGUAACUAUGUAAAAGGUGGCUAUACUACCGCUUUUGGAUGGGCCCGCGGCCCAUUAGCUAGUUGGUAGGGUAAAGGCUUACCAAGGCAAUGAUGCGUAGCCGAAUUGAGAGGUUGAUCGGCCACAUUGGGACUGAGACACGGCCCAAACUCCUACGGGAGGCAGCAGUAGGGAAUCUUCCACAAUGGGCGAAAGCCUGAUGGAGCAACGCCGCGUGGGUGAAGAAGGUCUUCGGAUCGUAAAACCCUGUUGUUAGAGAAGAAAGUGCGUGAGAGUAACUGUUCACGUUUCGACGGUAUCUAACCGGAAAGCCACGGCUAACUACGUG
Molecule: ribosomal RNA, 512 nt
Filed under: uncultured bacterium
Lineage: Bacteria
Description: partial 16S ribosomal RNA
Rfam family: Bacterial small subunit ribosomal RNA
Source: RNAcentral